Long non-coding RNA from Echinops telfairi (small Madagascar hedgehog), 1110 nucleotides. RefSeq lists it as uncharacterized. The transcript has 2 exons. The record is from RefSeq and is a predicted model, not a curated record. NCBI's taxonomy places the organism in Eukaryota, Metazoa, Chordata, Mammalia, Afrosoricida, Tenrecidae.
GUAAUUGUGAGGACGGCGCGCAACCAACCGGGCAGUGCUUCGCUCUGUUGUACAUCAGCUCGCUGUGAGCCUGCCCCAGCUUGCCGGCAACUAGCAGCAGAACAACAGUGUGGUUGGGCUGUGCAGUCAGUUCCACUCACAGCAGCCUCUCGGGCAGGGUAGAACUGCCCCCGGGGGUUCUCAGGCUCUACAACUUUACAGACGUUGACUGCUGCAUCUUUUCUUCCAGAGCAGCUGGUGGGUUCGGUCCACUGGACUCUCAGCUCAGUGCCCAGUGCUGGGCUGCCGGCGCUCCCUCCCGGUGGGAAGGAGGAGGGCUGCUCAAGGAGACUCGGUGCUUGCUGAGGGGACCCGCUCCAUCCUCUGUGCAGUGGGAGGCAGGGAAGGUUUGAAACUGUUUCUGAAUGAGGCCCAUCCUGCGACGUCUCCAGCGAGCACUUUGAGGACCCUGAAUCAGCACCAUGACUCUGUAAGCUUUGGUCCACUGGGUAAUUUAGACAUUGCUGAAUAAAUUUAAAAACUAAUCUUUUCAAGGGUUUCUGAUGUGUAGGCAGUUUACAUUCUGAACUCAUUAAAUUCUCACAGCAGGUCUAUAUCGCAGAUACUGUUGAUGCCUUCAUUUUCUAGACGAUAAAACCAAGACACUGAGGUGUUAAGUAGCUUGACGCCAACGACACACAGCUUACUCAGUGGUUCUGACCGUUUGUGGUGGUUGGAUCCUGUGGUAGCUACAUAACUUCAUGUCAACUUGAAGAUACAUACAAGUGGAGGCGUGGCAUUCAACCUGUCCUUCAGGUCACAGCCAGAUGGUAUCUCCUUGUGGCGUGUCCUUCUCAUAAGGAGGCCCUGGGAACCUCCCUUUCUCUCUGCCUUCACCCUCCUGCUGAUGGGCCUUCAUUGCUGCUAGAGCCUUGUGACCACCCCUGGAUCCACGGGAUUUUGUACCCGCCAGCCUGUGAUGUUCUUGCAUUCUGCAUCAUGGCUUGUGACUGCAUGAGUCUGAAGAGGGACACAGGGACUGGCAUCAGAUGUACAGACUUGAGUUGGACUGGGCUGGGAUGUUUUCUGGAUAUGUAACUAACUUGUCGAUAUAAAGUUCUUACGCAGAUA